RNAcentral lists this ribosomal RNA (724 nucleotides) under uncultured Fusobacterium sp. RNAcentral's name for it is "bacterial SSU rRNA". It matches the Rfam family "Bacterial small subunit ribosomal RNA", at positions 28 to 776 of the family's 1533-position model. Lineage: Bacteria; Fusobacteriati; Fusobacteriota; Fusobacteriia; Fusobacteriales; Fusobacteriaceae. The record is from RNAcentral.
GAUGAACGCUGACAGAAUGCUUAACACAUGCAAGUCGACUCGAGUCUUCGGACUUGGGUGGCGGACGGGUGAGUAACGCGUAAAGAACUUGCCUCAUAGUCUGGGACAACAUUUGGAAAUGGAUGCUAAUACCGGAUAUUAUACUUUCUUCGCAUGGAGGAAGUAUGAAAGCUAUAUGCGCUAUGAGAGAGCUUUGCGUCCCAUUAGCUAGUUGGUGAGGUAACGGCCCACCAAGGCGAUGAUGGGUAGCCGGCCUGAGAGGGUGAACGGCCACAAGGGGACUGAGACACGGCCCUUACUCCUACGGGAGGCAGCAGUGGGGAAUAUUGGACAAUGGACCAAAAGUCUGAUCCAGCAAUUCUGUGUGCACGAUGACGUUUUUCGGAAUGUAAAGUGCUUUCAGUCGGGAAGAAGCAAGUGACGGUACCGACAGAAGAAGCGACGGCUAAAUACGUGCCAGCAGCCGCGGUAAUACGUAUGUCGCAAGCGUUAUCCGGAUUUAUUGGGCGUAAAGCGCGUCUAGGCGGCAAGGAAAGUCUGAUGUGAAAAUGCGGGGCUCAACUCCGUAUUGCGUUGGAAACUGCCUUACUAGAGUACUGGAGAGGUAGGCGGAACUACAAGUGUAGAGGUGAAAUUCGUAGAUAUUUGUAGGAAUGCCGAUGGGGAAGCCAGCCUACUGGACAGAUACUGACGCUAAAGCGCGAAAGCGUGGGUAGCAGACAGG